This is a long non-coding RNA of Rosa rugosa (rugosa rose), 1833 nucleotides long. RefSeq lists it as uncharacterized. The transcript is spliced from 3 exons. NCBI's taxonomy places the organism in Eukaryota, Viridiplantae, Streptophyta, Magnoliopsida, Rosales, Rosaceae. The record is from RefSeq and is a predicted model, not a curated record.
UCUACAUUGUUGUGUUAAGGCUGUUUCGAAUUCUUGUGAUUAUGAGAUUACAUAAGCUGGUAUGUGUGAAAUGAGUUUCAAAUCUAAGUCUAGUAAACAUUACAUUUGAAAUUUGAGAAUACAUAGGAUUGUAGACAAGGUUAUGGGAUCCAUAUGCUUGCGAGUGAUGAUCAUGCAUUGGCUCUAGUAGUGUGUGCCUCCUUGGGAGACUGAGAAUAUAAAGAUGCAAUAUCUGAGGCUUCUCUUAGCAUAGUUUAACUUAUUACUCUAUCAUUAUUUUUCUCGGCAAUAGAUAAUUGUAGAUAGGCUCUUGAAAAUUUCAAUUAAUAAUGCUUUGCUAAUGUCAAUCCUGCUUAUGUUACCAGUUGGUUGGUCGUCUGGACAAUAGUGCUGUUUCAGCCACUGGUGCAAAGUUGGCUUUUAAGUCUAAUGAAGAGAAAGCAGUUCAAGUAAGGACCGUCCCUCUUGAUGAUGUGAUUCCAGAAUCUGAACCUGUUCUUGUGCUCAAAAUUGAUGUUCAAGGCUGGGAAUAUCAUGUGCUGAAAGGAGAUAAGAAGUUACCGUCAAGAGCUGCAAGUGAAGCACAAUAUCUCAUUUAUGAGGAAGACGGGUGUUUGUUGGAAGCCAGUAAUAGCAGUAAAGUAGAGAUCCUCUUCUCUAGUGUGGGUUAUCGUCACUGCACGCAGCAUGGCACAGAUGCACACUACCAAGGAGGUUAACACAUAUAUCGUGCCUUGAGUUUUACCACAAGAAAUAGUACCAAACAAUAGUUGAAAAAAUUCUGAGACAGAUUACUCGAACAUGAUUCUCUCAGAUAAGUUACUCAAUGGUCUUUACAUAUAUCACUAUAGCAACAUGAGCAACCGCAUCCUAAAUGGUGGAAUCUGUAACAUAUCUAACUCCAUGUCUGGUGGUUGAAGACGAGCUUUUUUAAUUGUUUUGGGAAACCUCCUAUUGAAAGACAUUGUAAGGUGUUCUGGUGUAGAAAAAGCUGUUCAUUGAGAUAAAAGCAUAUCUUUGAAUAAUCUAGGAUGUAAACUUUGUGUUAUGUAGUUAGUUUUAAACAUUGGUUUUUUUCAUUCCGAGGAAUAGUUUCUGAAAUCAGUUUUUCAGCCAAGCUUUAUUCAAUAUAUUGUGCAUAACCACGAAAGCAGAGAUCGGCCUGUGGCAGAUCGCGUAAUUUCGAUCGAACAAAAUGUAGGGCUUUGAAGCGAUGACCUUCAAUGUUCACGGUGGGCCGGUGGCUACUUGGAGGCCAUCGUCUGGGGACAACAUGCCGAUCUUCUCACCGCCGCUGAUUACAACAAUCUGUGCCAGUCCGAGACCCUCGACAACAUUAAGAUGCACCUCUCUGCCAUCGAGUACGGCCCCUCCCUCCAAAACGGGCAAUCGUGAUGGGCCUGAUGCUUCAUACCAACACAAAGCAACUGAUUAAAGGACAAAAUUACCAAGAUGCAUUGGAAGUGCUCAGCAUUGCUUUAAUGAAGGCAUAACUUUAACUUUUUCUUUGGCAUGGGUUUGCCUUGCGUUUCUUAUACUUAGUCAUUACGAAAAUUUGAUGAGGACAGGAAGCACUGAGAGCUUUCGGUGUGCUACAUAUCCCAAUCAAGAACUUCAUGGCUUGAUACCUGAUCAUUUAUGAAGAAGAUGAAGUGGUGGCUGAAGGAAAGAUAUCUUCAACAAACCCAAGUACAAAAGUAAACCGGGAAGUACUCUGCUGUACUAGAUGCCCAAAGAAUUCAGAACUUUGUGAUGCAUGUUUUGUAAAGAAUUAUGUUUCAGAACUUCAAUGAAAUGUAUAUUUUUCUUAGUGUACUAAUAUUGGCAUGUGAA